RNAcentral lists this ribosomal RNA (402 nucleotides) under bacterium. RNAcentral's name for it is "partial 16S ribosomal RNA". It matches the Rfam family "Bacterial small subunit ribosomal RNA", at positions 355 to 776 of the family's 1533-position model. The record is from RNAcentral.
UGGGGAAUUUUGCACAAUGGGGGAAACCCUGAUGCAGCGACGCCGCGUGAUUUAGAAGGCCUUCGGGUUGUAAAAAUCUUUUCUAUGGGAAGAAAAUGACAGUACCAUAGGAAUAAGGACCGGCUAAUUACGUGCCAGCAGCCGCGGUAAUACGUAAGGUCCGAGCGUUGUCCGGAAUCAUUGGGCGUAAAGGGUACGUAGGCGGGUAAGCAAGUUAGAAGUGAAAUCCUAUAGCUCAACUAUAGUAAGCUUUUAACACUGCUCAUCUUGAGGUAUGGAAGGGAGAGUGGAAUUCCUAGUGUAGCGGUGAAAUGCGCAGAUAUUAGGAGGAAUACCGGUGGCGAAGGCGACUUUCUGGCCAUAACCUGACGCUGAGGUACGAAAGCGUGGGUAGCAAACAGG